Long non-coding RNA from Vombatus ursinus (common wombat), 2140 nucleotides. RefSeq lists it as uncharacterized. NCBI's taxonomy places the organism in Eukaryota, Metazoa, Chordata, Mammalia, Diprotodontia, Vombatidae. The transcript is spliced from 3 exons. The record is from RefSeq and is a predicted model, not a curated record.
AGAAGAUUAGAAAGGAAAAUGAAAAUUCCUUGAUUGUUGAUGUGACUAGCCUUCAUGAUACAGAGAAACCUGAUCAUCAAGAGAGUCAAGGAUAUUUUAAAACACUUUCAGAAACAAACUUUUCCAAAGUCGACAUAAAGGAUAAUUUCCAGGCCAAUACAAGUCCUAUUUUGGAUACUACAUCCAGUCAUUCUUGAAGAAUUAUUUGAAUAAAACACCACCUCAAAGAGAAAGCUUCGUUAGACACUUCUUCAGAGCUGAGACCAUGUCUGGAUUUUCUGUUCCUCAUUUUCAUUUUGGCUAAAGCUAAUCUAACUGAAGACUGUAUUUCUUCAUUAGUAAUGCUUUAUAGAUGGCUUUGCUUAUUUCCUUCCAUUUAAGAAAGAAAAAAGAAAAAAAAAACACAUGGCUGUUUCUGGCUUAAAUAGGAAACAGGUCAUUUGAAAAGGUACCUGGGAUUUCUGCUAGACUGCAAGCUUAAUAAUAAUCAGCAGUGCAAUAUGACAACCCAAAAAAGCAAAUUGAUUUUAGAUUGCAUUAACAUUGGUGGGCUCCUUGGCCAAACGUAUCUGGAAUGCAGUAUUCAGUUCUGGGUAACACAUUUUAUGAAGGACAUUGAAAAGAGGCUGGUGACUGGGAUGGUCAGAGGCCUCAAGAUUACACCACCUUUGUAUUUCAUCUCUCUGGAUUCUGACCCUUGUUCCAGCUGGCAGAGUUAUUUUGGGAGGCAGCAUGACUCAUCUGACAUAUUAGCCAUCUUUCUCCAAUUCAUGUUAGCGGCAGAUUUUAUAAGCAUGCAGUCUUUGUCUUCAUAUUAGUCACCCAUAAAAAUGUUCAGUAGAAUAGGGCUGAGAGUAAUCAUUCUUUUGGUCCUCUCAUUAAAGCAGUUAUGAAUCUAUCUAAUUACAUUAUAAUCCUGAGCACAUUUCUCCAUCUAAUCAACAAAGACAUGUGGGCCUUUAUCUAAUGCCUCACUACAAUUGAGUUAAUCUAUGUAUAUGCUAUUUCUUCGAUCUUUCAGCCUGGUAACUCAGUCUUGGAAGGAAAUUAGGUGAUAGGUGGCCUGUUCAGACUGUGUCUAGAGCAUUCAGUUCAGGGUGCUAUAUUUUAGGAAGAAUGUUCACAAGUUGGAGAUAGUGUGGCAUAGUAUAUAAAUACCUGAUCUCAAAACCAGGAAGACCUGGGUUCAGUCCCGCUUCUGACACAUACUGGUUUUGUGAUGCUGGACAAAUUUCUUAAUCUCUCAGUAAUCCGGACAACUCUCUAAGAUUACAAAUUGUAGAGAUGGUACUGACCUGCACUGGUAGAAUGAGUUUCCUCUAUACCAGUACCAUACCAGUACUCCCUAUACUGAGAAUUCCCUAUACCAAUGAAGUUAUAGGCCUAGUCCCCAUACCCUCUCUUAUUGACAAGUUAAACCAUGUCCAUUGGGGAAGGGGUGGUGGUGACCAGAAUAUAAAUAGGAAAGAGAAAAUUUGGAGUGGGUCUAUGAACAUGAAAGCUGUCUUCAAAUAAUUUGUUCUACUUGGCCCCAGUCGGCGGAAGUAGAAUAAUGUAUGCCCUCACCACAGGGCAUUAAACAAACUCCUUUUUGGAAAUAUUAUAGAGAGAAUUCAUAUUCAGAUACAGUCUGAACUAAAUGGCUCUAAUAUCCCUUCUAACUCUGAGAUUCUGUGACGUGGAAUGAAUCUGGCAUUUUGUUUUUCUUAGUAAACCUAUUCAUCGUGCUUAGUGAUUACCAUGUCUCUUUACAAAUGUUCACAAACCAUCUACUUAAUAAUCUGUUCAGAAAUUUUGUUGGGAUUCAUAGAUGUAUAAUUUGAGGAAUCUGUUCCCAAAUGUUCUUGAAAACCAGGACCAUAUUUGCCCAUUUCUAGUCCUAGAGUACCUCGCUUGUCUCCAUAGUUUCUCAAAGUUCACUGACAACAGUUCAGCAGUGGUAUCUAUGAGUUUUUUAGGGCCUCAGUUUCUUUAUCUUUAAAAUGACUGGGUAGGAUUAAAUGAUUCCCUAAGGUCCUUCAGCCUAAAUUCUGUGCUUCAGGCUUGGGUUCUAGACCUCACUCUGCCAUUUUCUAGUCAUUUGACUUUAGAUAGGCCACCUCUCUGGGUCUCAGUUUUCUCAUAUAUAUAUUUCUCUAUA